GGAAUAGCUCAGUUGGUAGAGCAUUAGACUCUUAAUCGAGUCUAAGUUGGGCAAAAACAUUCCUGCAUUGCAGGGGGGUUGGACUAGAAUGAUGAUCCUAUGAUUCUAUGAUUUUACUUUGUAAUAUGAACAUAGGACAGUGACGCAGGUGGCGCUGUGGGUUAAACCACAGAGCCUAGGACUUGCCGAUCAGAAGGUCAGCGGUUCAAAUCCCCGUGACA
This is a non-coding RNA of Podarcis lilfordi (Lilford's wall lizard), 221 nucleotides long. The record is from the annotation of a GenBank genome assembly. NCBI's taxonomy places the organism in Eukaryota, Metazoa, Chordata, Lepidosauria, Squamata, Lacertidae.